RNAcentral lists this ribosomal RNA (253 nucleotides) under uncultured bacterium. RNAcentral describes it as "partial 16S ribosomal RNA". It matches the Rfam family "Bacterial small subunit ribosomal RNA", at positions 524 to 776 of the family's 1533-position model. The record is from RNAcentral.
GACGAACCGUGCGAACGUUGUUCGGAUUCACUGGGCUUAAAGGGCGCGUAGGCGGGCGACCAAGUCAGGGGUGAGAUCUUUCGGCCCAACCGGAAAAGUGCCCCUGAUACUGGCCGCCUCGAGGGGGGUAGGGGCAUGCGGAACUUCCGGUGGAGCGGUGAAAUGCGUAGAUAUCGGAAGGAACGCCGGUGGCGAAAGCGGCGUGCUGGACCCCUUCUGACGCUGAGGCGCGAAAGCCAGGGGAGCAAACGGG